Molecule: ribosomal RNA, 253 nt
Filed under: uncultured bacterium
Lineage: Bacteria
Description: partial 16S ribosomal RNA
Rfam family: Bacterial small subunit ribosomal RNA
Source: RNAcentral
UACAGAGGGUGCGAGCGUUAAUCGGAAUUACUGGGCGUAAAGCGCACGUAGUCGGCUUUGCAAGUCGGUUGUGAAAUCCCCGGGCUCAACCUGGGAACUGCAUCCGAGACUGCAUUGCUAGAGUAUGGGAGAGGAAAGCGGAAUUUCUGGUGUAGCAGUGAAAUGCGUAGAUAUGCGGAGGAACACCGAUGGCGAAGGCAAUCCCCUGGGCCUGCACUGACGCUCAUGCACGAAAGCGUGGGGAGCAAACAGG